GGGCAUGUGGUGUAUCUGGCUAACACAUUCGCACAAUAUCAACAUUUCCUCUCGCGUUUCUAUGAUGUUGCCAUCCGCGAAAGUAUCCGGUUCGAGUCCGGACAUGUCCC
This is a non-coding RNA of Stereum hirsutum FP-91666 SS1, 110 nucleotides long. Lineage: Eukaryota; Fungi; Basidiomycota; Agaricomycetes; Russulales; Stereaceae. The record is from the annotation of a RefSeq genome assembly.